UGAAGUUCUAGCUGAGUUCUAGGUUGUUGGUUCAGUUCAGGUUGUAAAGGAGAUUGUGGAAGCUGUUGCGAGGUAUGCUGAGAUUGUAAUGAUGAUUCUUGGGGAUACUGUGGUUGAGGCCGAGGAUGAGGUUGCGAUUGAGGUUGAUGCAGAGACUGGGCCUGAGGUUGGGCCUGGGCCUGGAACUGGGCUUGGGUUGGGGUUUGAAAUUGGUGAUGAUAUUGAGGUUGGGACUGAGGUUGGGCUGCGGAUUGAAAUUGAGGACGAAACUGAGGUUGUGACUGAGAUUGAGGUUGGGGUUG
RNAcentral lists this long non-coding RNA (302 nucleotides) under Nicotiana tabacum (common tobacco). RNAcentral describes it as "long non-coding RNA (NTAB_LNC000942)". Lineage: Eukaryota; Viridiplantae; Streptophyta; Magnoliopsida; Solanales; Solanaceae. The record is from RNAcentral.